UACAGAGGUCCUAAGCGUUGUUCGGAUUCACUGGGCGUAAAGGGUGCGUAGGCGGUCGGGUAAGUCUGAUGUGAAAUCUCACAGCUUAACUGUGAAACUGCAUUGGAUACUAUCCGGCUAGAGGAAUGGAGGGGAGACUGGAAUACUUGGUGUAGCAGUGAAAUGCGUAGAUAUCAAGUGGAACACCAGUGGCGAAGGCGAGUCUCUGGACAUUUCCUGACGCUGAGGCACGAAAGCCAGGGGAGCAAACGGG
Molecule: ribosomal RNA, 253 nt
Filed under: uncultured bacterium
Lineage: Bacteria
Description: partial 16S ribosomal RNA
Rfam family: Bacterial small subunit ribosomal RNA
Source: RNAcentral